CAGGAAGAGUGUCCUUGGGGAUGAGAUGACACCUCGACUGAGAAGCCUAGUAAACCUGCAGGAAGCCCCAGCCCAUGGUAGGGGGCGAGUAUCUUGAUGCUGUGCCUCAUCGAAGAGAACCAUGCGCACAGGGUUUUGGAUGAUGAGGAAAGUUGGCCAACCCUUGUCAAGGACGGUUGAGGCACAGUGGGGUCAGCAGGAGCCCUUGGGCGAUGACAGGAGGUGGCUCACCCCAGCACUUGUCUCCCCAGACCACCCCGUCUGGGCCCUCAUCCUCAUCUGCUUGGCGGGAAUCCUGGUGCUCAUCACAGGCCUGAUCUGCUGUCUGCUGCCAAAAGAAUGCAAUGGUGUAAAGAUUCCUGUUGAUGUCAGUAAACCUAAUCCAAAUGACGUGGAGUUUGGUAAUCUGUAUUUGGAUAUGAAUGGAAUCAUCCAUCCCUGUACUCAUCCUGAAGACAAGUACGUAACCUGUUUUUGUCACUGACAUCACCAGUUACAGAGGAGUACUAUAUUAUAUUACAUUGUUUGCUUAUCAUUAUA
Diceros bicornis minor is the source of this 540-nucleotide long non-coding RNA. RefSeq lists it as uncharacterized. The transcript has 3 exons. NCBI's taxonomy places the organism in Eukaryota, Metazoa, Chordata, Mammalia, Perissodactyla, Rhinocerotidae. The record is from RefSeq and is a predicted model, not a curated record.